AUUGAACGCUGGCGGCAUGCCUUACACAUGCAAGUCGAACGGCAGCAUGAUCUAGCUUGCUCGAUUGAUGGCGAGUGGCGAACGGGUGAGUAAUACAUCGGAACGUGCCCUGUAGUGGGGGAUAACUAGUCGAAAGAUUAGCUAAUACCGCAUACGACCUGAGGGUGAAAGUGGGGGACCGCAAGGCCUCAUGCUAUAGGAGCGGCCGAUGUCUGAUUAGCUAGUUGGUGAGGUACAGGCUCACCAAGGCGACGAUCAGUAGCUGGUCUGAGAGGACGAUCAGCCACACUGGGACUGAGACACGGCCCAGACUCCUACGGGAGGCAGCAGUGGGGAAUUUUGGACAAUGGGCGAAAGCCUGAUCCAGCAAUGCCGCGUGUGUGAAGAAGGCCUUCGGGUUGUAAAGCACUUUUGUCCGGAAAGAAAUGGCUCUGGUUAAUACCUGGGGUCGAUGACGGUACCGGAAGAAUAAGGACCGGCUAACUACGUG
RNAcentral lists this ribosomal RNA (490 nucleotides) under uncultured bacterium. RNAcentral's name for it is "partial 16S ribosomal RNA". It matches the Rfam family "Bacterial small subunit ribosomal RNA", at positions 30 to 507 of the family's 1533-position model. The record is from RNAcentral.